This 501-nucleotide long non-coding RNA is filed under the name Gossypium raimondii (Peruvian cotton). RNAcentral describes it as "long non-coding RNA (GRAI_LNC006561)". Lineage: Eukaryota; Viridiplantae; Streptophyta; Magnoliopsida; Malvales; Malvaceae. The record is from RNAcentral.
UAUGAUUUUUCACCUCAAAACUCAAAUUACCUUCUUCUUUUUUUACUUAGGGGCAAGUCUGCUUUUGAUCUUGUUGACUUCUUUGGUACCAAUUUGGAAUGCCUUUGUCAACACGUGGUCCGGCACUGCUGGUGUUGAACCAAACAAGGUAACGGCAAUCGACUGAGUUCCCGGCAAUUGGCUGUUGAAGCCGGCGAUGACCGAUGCCGGUUCUUUGCCGUUGUUUUGCUGGAAAUGAACCAAACCUUUAGGGAACACGAAAAUGUCUCCUUUUUUUAAGGAUUUGGAGAUCAACUUGUUGGCAGUGGUGAUGAACCCCACAUCCAAUUCACCAUCGAGAACAAAGAUGAUCUCGGUGGCGCGUGGGUGAGUGUGAGGUGGGUUAAGUCCGCCAGGUUGAUAGUCAAUACGAGAAAGCGACACCCCAAGGGUGUUCAACCCUGGGAUUUUCUCAACAUUGGCUCCGGUCACCACCGAUCCCACCGUGUUGUUGACCACCGC